UAUCGCACAAUGGGGGAAACCCUGAUGCAGCGACGCCGCGUGAGUGAAGAAGUAUUUCGGUAUGUAAAGCUCUAUCAGCAGGGAAGAAAAUGACGGUACCUGAUUAAGAAGCCCCGGCUAACUACGUGCCAGCAGCCGCGGUAAUACGUAGGGGGCAAGCGUUAUCCGGAUUUACUGGGUGUAAAGGGAGCGUAGACGGCAGCACAAGUCUGGAGUGAAAUGCCGGGGGUUAACCCCGGAACUGCUUUGGAAAAUGUGCAGCUAGGAUGCAGGAGAGGUAAGUGGAAUUCCUAGUGUAGCGGUGAAAUGCGUAGAUAUUAGGAGGAAAACCAGUGGCGAAGGCGGCUUACUGGACUGUAACUGACGUUGAGGCUCGAAAGCGUGGGGAGGAAACAGG
Molecule: ribosomal RNA, 397 nt
Filed under: uncultured bacterium
Lineage: Bacteria
Description: bacterial SSU rRNA
Rfam family: Bacterial small subunit ribosomal RNA
Source: RNAcentral